This is a long non-coding RNA of Lingula anatina, 291 nucleotides long. The record is from RefSeq and is a predicted model, not a curated record. Lineage: Eukaryota; Metazoa; Brachiopoda; Lingulata; Lingulida; Lingulidae.
CGGGAAAGGGAACAUGGUUUGUUCAAUCCAUUGUCGAUACAUUUUAUCGUGAAGCACACAAAUAUGACGUUUUACAAAUGUUGGUGAAUGUCAAUCACGCGAUCUCUCAAAAGCAAACAACAAUGGGCAAUAAACAGGCACCAGAGAUAGUUACCAGCUUACGAAAGAAAGUUUUCUUCAACAUAACUCCAGGCAUCGGUCAAACGUGUCUAAUUUGGUUCAGUUUUGUUGUGGGAUAUGGUUGAUUGGGCGAGUAAUGACCCACCCACUUAUUGUCCAUGUGGUUCAAGU